AGACAUACAACAUCAGGAGGAGGGGGUUGAUUCCUGCUAGAGAACCCCAUUAAAGACAUACAACAUCAGGAGGACGGGGUUGAUUCCUGCUAGAGAACCCCAUUAAAGACAUACAACAUCAGGAGGACGGGGUUGAUUCCUGCUAGAGAACCCCAUUAAAGACAUACAACAUCAGGAGGAGGGGGUUGAUUCCUGCUAGAGAACCCCAUUAAAGACAUACAACAUCAGGAGGAGGGGGUUGAUUCCUGCUAGAGAACCCCAUUAAAGACAUACAACAUCAGGAGGACGGGGUUGAUUCCUGCUAGAGAAACCCAUUAAAGACAUACAACAUCAGGAGGACGGGGUUGAUUCCUGCUAGAGAACCCCAUUAAAGACAUACAACAUCAGGAGGACGGGGUUGAUUCCUGCUAGAGAACCCCAUUAAAGACAUACAACAUCAGGAGGAGGGGGGUUGAUUCCUGCUAGAGAAACCCGUAAGACAUACAGUGUUUAUACAGUUUUAUGGUUUGACAAAGCAAAUUACAAGAUAGAAUUUCACCCUUAGCUGGAACCGAAACACUUCAGUGGCCCCUGCGGUUAGUCAAAGGAGACCCCAAUAAACUGGUAACAGUGAGAUCAUAGGAGGAAUGACCCUGCCUGCUCACACCACAGAGGAUAUGUAGAUGGCUGGACCUUUAGGGUCAUAACCCGAUUUGACGCCUUGGUAGAGGUACGUCUCCUUCACACACACAGAACAAUAAGGGUCUAUAAACAAAGACAGGCAGAUAUAUUUUUUAAAGGGCUGUCAAGGAUGUCCAAUUUUAUGGGAGGAUAUUCCCAAGGUGUCUAUCUGGUCAGCAGUUUUAUUGUUCUUCUGGCAGAGGGGAUAUUCCUUUUUUAAACACACCACGUAAACACACACGUGGUAACAGAGUAUUCAUGCUGAAUUCAGUGACCUUUUGAUGUUACCAGUGGCAACAAAGGAUCUGCAGGAACUCUGAGUUCCAUAUGAGACACAAAUUCAACCACUUCAGAGAGAGAGAGACGUGUUUCACCAGUUCGGCUUCUCGCCAUCUGACCAACAUCUCAAAAGGGGUAUGAGUUGUUAAGAGUUUGAUGUACUGGUGCCCGAGCUCACCACCUUCUGUAGAGCCUUCCGGGUCGGUUGCCUUGCAGUUGCCGAACCAAGUGGUGAUGUAGCCAGUCAAGAUGCUCUCAGUGGUGCAGCCAGUCAAGAUGCUCUCAGUGGGGCAGCCAGUCAAGAUGCUCUCAGUGGUGCAGCCAGUCAAGAUGCUCUCAGUGGUGCAGCCAGUCAAGAUGCUCUCAGUGGUGCAGCCAGUCAAGAUGCUCUCAGUGGUGCAGCCAGUCAAGAUGCUCUCAGUGGGGCAGCCAGUCAAGAUGCUCUCAGUGGUGCAGCCAGUCAAGAUGCUCUCAGUGGUGCAGCCAGUCAAGAUGCUCUCAGUGGUGCAGCCAGUCAAGAUGCUCUCAGUGGUGCAGCUGUAGAACUUUUAGAGAAUCUGAGGGCCAACACCAAGAACAGAAUAUGACUUGGCCUACUGUUAGUUAUCUGGCAAUGCUCCAUCUCAUACGCUGUAGGCUUGUUUAGCUGACAACAUAUGCUUUAUUUUAUGCCAUUAUUUUAUUUUGUAGUAAGAAGAAUAUAAUUGAACUUAGCUGAAUAAAAUAGAAAUGGUAUUUUUCCAUUCUUGAGCCCGUGUGCAUAUGAAGUGUCUAUGUUUCGUGUAAAAGUGAUCAUUUUAAACGGGUCCUAUAUGCUAGACUUAGAGUUAUUUGGAAACUUUAGAUGUGACUGAUACAAACCUUAGAAUGUCUUAGAAAUCAUAACAUAUAUGGGCUGCAUGAUGUGACUAUAGUCUAUUGAUGAUUUGAGAAAGUAGCAAAAAUAAAAAGACUGUGAUCUGUUCCUUGCCUCAGGCUGCAACAGCUGUUCUCUCAUCAAGUGAUCAUAUUUUACCCCUUCAGACUAUUCUCAUUUUUAUCUUGUCUUUGCUAAUGUGUAAAAAAUAGUUUUGAUUUAGAAUGGUCCAUUAUUAAAUGGGGAGGAACCAGGGCAGGGAAAAAAUAUAUGUCCUCUGUAUCCCCUCAAUUAGCAAACGUGGCAGGUAGCCUAGUGGUUAGAGCGUUGGGCCAGUAACCAGCAGGUAGCCUAGUGGUUAGAGAGUUGGGCCAAUAACCAGCAGGUAGCCUAGUGGUUAGAGCGUUGGGCCAGUAACCAGCAGGUAGCCUAGUGGUUAGAGAGUUGGGCCAAUAACCAGCAGGUAGCCUAGUGGUUAGAGCGUUGGGCCAAUAACCAGCAGGUAGCCUAGUGGUUAGAGCGUUGGGCCAAUAACCGUAACGGUUUACCCAAGUUGACAAGAUAUAAAUCUGUCAUUCUGUCCCUGAACAGGCAGUUAACCCACUGUUCCUAGGCCGUCAUUGAAAAUAGGAACUUGUUCUUAACUGACUUGCCUGGUAGAAUAAACAUAUAUAAACAGAGACCACGCGCUUUCCCACUGGUUGGUGUUUCGAUGAUGUGUCGGAUACUUGGGUUUUAUAGAGGAGCAUCUGCUAAGAACUAAAUAUAGGAACACUUUUCACGCAAUAUAAGAACACACUCCACGCAUCGACCAUUGUUUGAGGACCAUGUU
Oncorhynchus tshawytscha (Chinook salmon) is the source of this 2627-nucleotide long non-coding RNA. The record is from Ensembl. NCBI's taxonomy places the organism in Eukaryota, Metazoa, Chordata, Actinopteri, Salmoniformes, Salmonidae.